CCCGGGCUGGUGCGGGCGAAUGGCUCGCGAACCCGGUCAGGUCCGAGAGGAAGCAGCCGCAGCGAAACCCGUUUGGGUCGUCGCCAGCCCGUUCAG
RNAcentral lists this signal recognition particle RNA (96 nucleotides) under Paracoccaceae bacterium. RNAcentral's name for it is "Rhodobacteraceae bacterium (sponge metagenome) signal recognition particle sRNA small type". It matches the Rfam family "Bacterial small signal recognition particle RNA". From Rfam's summary of the family: The signal recognition particle (SRP) is a universally conserved ribonucleoprotein involved in the co-translational targeting of proteins to membranes. Lineage: Bacteria; Pseudomonadati; Pseudomonadota; Alphaproteobacteria; Rhodobacterales; Paracoccaceae. The record is from RNAcentral.